GUUUAAAAACUUUUUCGCGAGAUGCUAAACCCCUUUUUGUUAUUCUCUAAUCUAUUAAUCUUUCGGGAAAAUUUUGUUUUUGUGUCGGAGAAUAGAUUUUGGAAAGUCUAAUGUGAUCUCAAAGUGCAUUAUUUUCAGAACAAAAUUUCGUGCCGAUUUUUUUAAUUUACCCAGAACUACUACAGUCGCGUGAAUUUUGUGCCGUUUUUUUUGUUUGAGUGUUGAUUUAAAUCUCAAAAUAAAAGACUAUGGAUUUCGCCAGAUUGUCAUCUAAUCAUUAAUCAGGAGAGUGCAAACAAGAGGUUUAAGGCGUCAUUGUUAGGCCCCAAUUUCAAAAUUCGACUUUGAGAAAAAUCAGCAUUGAUAGAUUGAUGGCUGCAAAAUAAUGCACAAGACAAAUAAAUUCG
This is a long non-coding RNA of Belonocnema kinseyi, 407 nucleotides long. RefSeq lists it as uncharacterized. The transcript has 3 exons. NCBI's taxonomy places the organism in Eukaryota, Metazoa, Arthropoda, Insecta, Hymenoptera, Cynipidae. The record is from RefSeq and is a predicted model, not a curated record.